UACGAGGGGUCCUAGCGUUGUUCGGAAUCAUUGGGCGUAAAGCGGGUGUAGGCGGAUUCGUAAGUCAGAAGUGAAAGCCCUGGGCUCAACCCAGGAAGUGCUUUUGAAACUACGGAUCUUGAGUAUGGUAGAGGCUAGUGGAAUUCCUGGUGUAGUGGUGAAAUACGUAGAUAUCAGGAGGAACAUCGGUGGCGAAGGCGGCUAGCUGGACCAAUACUGACGCUCAGACCCGAAAGCGUGGGGAGCGAACCGG
RNAcentral lists this unclassified non-coding RNA (253 nucleotides) under uncultured Pseudobdellovibrionaceae bacterium. Its description in RNAcentral is "uncultured Bdellovibrionaceae bacterium contains 16S-23S intergenic spacer region". It matches the Rfam family "Bacterial small subunit ribosomal RNA", at positions 524 to 776 of the family's 1533-position model. The record is from RNAcentral. Lineage: Bacteria; Pseudomonadati; Bdellovibrionota; Bdellovibrionia; Bdellovibrionales; Pseudobdellovibrionaceae.